CCGAGAGAAAGCUGCAGAAAACAGUCUAGGAAAAAUCGGACUAGGGAAAAACAUUGACCGAACAUUGUGGGACGAUGUGGAAAAUACGAAACCUGAAGAAAAAGGGCCAGAGUACUCUACAUAGGAGGAGGAAGAAACAGAUUGAAAGAGAAAAAGAUGAGAUGAGAAGGAACGAGAAUGUAAAAGAGAAGCCAGAGAGGGAAUCAGGGAGUGGUACAACAGCGAACCGUCAAGGAGGGGGGCAUGCGUGGGGUUAGAGAGAGAGAGGGAGAUAGAGGGAGCAUGAAAAACGAGAAAGAGCGAGAACAAGACAAAGUCGAGUGGAGCGGGGAGAGAAGGGGAGGAGAAGGAUAAACGGAGGGUGAAUGGGUGGGUGGAAGGGAGAAGAAACAUGCCAGAGGACGAUGAACUCUGGCGGUAGGCAGCUUCCGUCGCCUGGCAACGUUCUCCUCCCUUUUCCUCCUCCUCUCUCUGAGGCUCCAAGCCGUUAUGUCGUGGUAUCGUACGUAGGCAGUCCUCGUCAUGGACGUAGUAGUCGUGUCAUCGUCUUCGUCAGUGACGAUCAUGGUAGUCGUUGUUGUAUUUUCACGUAGUCGUGCCUCGCAGCUUGCGCUGCGUAUUGAUCGUACGGGAUGCUGCUGCUAGCUGCUGCUGGUUGCUGGCUGCUCCAGCGCCGGCUAACAGUGAGCUUUAGCCACAGCCCUACACCAAGGACCAAUAGGACCACCAAUUUCUCUCUCUCUCUCUCUCUCUCUUGACUUUCUACUCUGCUUGUAUCUACCCAUUAUAGUUGCCCAAAAAUGAAAGUAAAUGUAACAAACUAUUGUUACUUUAUCUUUUUAGAUGCUAAAAAAACUUCUGAUUGAUUAAUUUGAUAGGUGUGGUAGUUGGAUGAUUAUAGAAAAACAUAGAGAUGUGAUAAUGAAUGUUCUUUCAUACUGUUUCAUUUCUUGGAACCGUAGAAGAAUAUAAUAACUAUUUGUAUUUAGAAGAGAAAAUGUGUCCAAGUUGAAAUUGAGAAAUGUUACAGACAUUAAAAUAAUACAAAAUACUAUGAUACAUAAAUGCAGAAGAUUCAUAUAGAGAUGAUAAUGACAUAAAGAUCUAAAUAUAUACAUAAAAUGCAUGAGAAAAUUCUGGCCAUAAUUUUAUACGAUAUCGUUCACAUACUCUAAAUCCAUUAGCCAUGCAUCACAUGUGCUACAUGUGUGCAAAAUGUGAACAUCAAAUCAAUGACCCUACCGUAUCUUCUCCCCAUCAAACGUCGAACCUUCGUCUAAUUAUAUCGCAAUAUAUCUCAAAAUAACCCAACUUCAUCAUCAGCUAACUACACCUAUCACUUGUACCAAUACUACGCUCUUUCUUUACCAUAUAUAAAAUAGGAAAGCGACAUGUUUCACAACAUAACCAUAUUUCUUCCACUAGACACGAGACAUACAAAUGAGGUACAAAUACAUCUAACUCAUGACACGACAAUAAUACAUUGGCUUCCAAAAGGAUUAAAAGUAAUGUAUGGAGCAUACAAAGGGAACAUAAAUACGUCCACAACAUUUCUAUUGUUCGCCAAUUGCAAGAGGAAAGCGCGCGUUCACCGACACCUACACGUCGUGCAGAAAUGUCGGACGGCUAUCAAUGGUUGGAACACGUCGUCUCGAUGAAAAUACCAGCGAGAGGUGAAUGGUUCGCGGCACGUGAAAAUAGUUUCACUACACAAGGCUAUGUCGUAAAGUCGGCCGCUACCGCGAAGAACCGAUCGAGCCGAAAAUGAAAGCAAACGCGAGCCGUGACUGCCAAGUCCAACGAACCUGCCACUUGGCAGCCGACGUCCGUGCUCAAGAGUGUCUUUAAUACACUGAACCCGCUAAACCUAAAUCCAUUUUAACCGCGGAGUGUCGGUGCCCGAUGUUGGCACAGAAAACUGUCACUGGCAUCCAUGAAAUUGCAGGUGAUCCGUUCGACACGGUUACCGAUGAAUCAGCCAAUUUUCUUGAAUGAAGUUUCUUUCUUACCCCGUGUUAACGAGACUCGUUGGUUUAGGGGAUGGAUAGGACGAUUCUAAUCGGACGUGAAACACAUACACGAAAUUAUUAUUUGAUGUACAGGGAUGAGUCACGUUUAUGACUCACGAGGGAAUAGAUGCACAGGGUGUAAUUCAUGCAUGAGCACCGUUGCAACUAAGUUUACAAAGAGUCUUGCCGUAAUUUAUAGCCACGUAAUACGUGAAGAACUACUUUGAGAGAAUGACAGCGAAGGGAAGUUGUAAAGCAGAAUAUGUCAUUGAUAGUUUAUAGUUACAAGUCGUUAAAUGUGGCACGAGGUUUGUAGAAGGAAAGUGUCAAAACAUGAGGUGUGAAGAAGACAUUUUGUAUAGCUAAAUGUGUCCUACUUUUCUAUAACAUGUUUUUUACACGCCCUUUUAAAAUUAAAUUAAUGGCUACAAUCUUAUUGUAAUUUCAUAUAAUGCACUUGUAAUCUUAUCCACUAGAAUCUCUUUUUUGCUAAUGAAACUGGUGACUAAUGAAACGUAAGAUAAUAUACAGCGUUAUAAGGA
Long non-coding RNA from Bombus pascuorum, 2551 nucleotides. RefSeq lists it as uncharacterized. NCBI's taxonomy places the organism in Eukaryota, Metazoa, Arthropoda, Insecta, Hymenoptera, Apidae. The record is from RefSeq and is a predicted model, not a curated record. The transcript has 2 exons.